CAGCCUCCUGUUCACUGCAACUUUAACAAUGACCUUCAACCCUGCGUAGAAUUCACACUGAACAGCUGACUUCUAAUUUAGUUCUGUGAUCUGUAAUGGGCUUAUAGGACCAGUUGAUUUUUUUUUAAAAAAGCAGGAAUAUGAUUCUCUAAUAAGCUGUGAUGAGAAACACUUUCAUCUCAAUCAAAGAUGCAACUGAGCUGAAGUAUAGAAAAUCGAAGACAAUUGCUCUGUGAAAUCAAUGUAAAAGAUGGAAUAAUGGAUGAGUGGAUGGAUAAAUCCCAGCUUAAUAGAGGCUUCGGCAAGAUUUUUACAGCCAGAUGCCAACCCUCUCGUAACAAAGUAAAAGCAAGAAACUGAAGCAUCUUUCAAAGAACACACCCAGUAAGUUCACUGGAAGUUUCAAGAAAGUUACCUGGCCCAAAAUGGUUAUCAGGUGGGGGUAGACCACCUCAUCUGGUCAGGUAACUAAUCCACUUUCAGCUCAAAAACCAAGAGGGACCCUGCCUGGCACUUGAGUGAAGUGUACCCUUUAGCCCUGUAAAAUGAGGAUCAAAUAAAAAGAAGACAGAUGCCUUCCCAAGAGUAAACUUGAAUUUGCUUUAUAUAUGACACAGCUCCACUCUGCUAGUUGGGAAA
Polypterus senegalus (gray bichir) is the source of this 639-nucleotide long non-coding RNA. RefSeq lists it as uncharacterized. The transcript has 4 exons. NCBI's taxonomy places the organism in Eukaryota, Metazoa, Chordata, Cladistia, Polypteriformes, Polypteridae. The record is from RefSeq and is a predicted model, not a curated record.